Molecule: long non-coding RNA, 424 nt
Organism: Cebus imitator (Panamanian white-faced capuchin)
Lineage: Eukaryota; Metazoa; Chordata; Mammalia; Primates; Cebidae
Exons: 3
Source: RefSeq, a predicted model, not a curated record
UAGUAUUUCAUUUUCUUUUUUAAAGGUGAUUUUAUUUAGGUAGAGAAAAGAGAAGAAGAGAAAGACUUCCGUGAAGACUGUGGAAGGGGUUUUCAGAGGGGAAAUCCCAGAGAGGAAAGGGAGCUCCCACCAAUGUUGGGAGGGAAUUCCAGAGAGCUGGAAAUCCAGUGUGGGUGAAGGAGCAGGGGAAUUUAUCCUGGGAGAAAUUCCCACCUUCCCAAGUUCCUCUGGCCAAUGAAAGGAGUCCCUUUAAAUUUCCACCGGAGUGACUGACUCUUACGUUUCUUCCCGCACCCUCGAAAUUCAAACAUAAACCCUUAAAUCUCCCAGGUGGAGAGAUGGGAGGGGUGCAUUGCGCUACAAAAUUCUUGCUCUUAAAACUAGGCUCCAUCAUACACCCAGAAAGAGAACACAUUUCAUCACU